RNAcentral lists this ribosomal RNA (429 nucleotides) under Bacteroidota bacterium. RNAcentral's name for it is "Bacteroidetes bacterium partial 16S ribosomal RNA". It matches the Rfam family "Bacterial small subunit ribosomal RNA", at positions 355 to 776 of the family's 1533-position model. The record is from RNAcentral. Lineage: Bacteria; Pseudomonadati; Bacteroidota.
UAGGGAAUCUUCCGCAAUGGGCGAAAGCCUGACGGAGCAACGCCGCGUGAGUGAUGAAGGUCUUCGGAUCGUAAAACUCUGUUAUUAGGGAAGAAUAAAUGUGUAAGUAACUAUGCACGUCUUGACGGUACCUAAUCAGAAAGCCACGGCUAACUACGUGCCAGCAGCCGCGGUAAUACGUAGGUGGCAAGCGUUAUCCGGAAUUAUUGGGCGUAAAGCGCGCGUAGGCGGUUUUUUAAGUCUGAUGUGAAAGCCCACGGCUUAACCGUGGAGGGUCAUUGGAAACUGGAAAACUUGAGUGCAGAAGAGGAAAGUGGAAUUCCAUGUGUAGCGGUGAAAUGCGCAGAGAUAUGGAGGAACACCAGUGGCGAAGGCGACUUUCUGGUCUGUAACUGACGCUGAUGUGCGAAAGCGUGGGGAUCAAACAGG